CGUGACGGCGCGAGCAGGUGCGAAAGCAGGUCAUAGUGAUCCGGUGGUUCUGAAUGGAAGGGCCAUCGCUCAACGGAUAAAAGGUACUCCGGGGAUAACAGGCUGAUACCGCCCAAGAGUUCAUAUCGACGGCGGUGUUUGGCACCUCGAUGUCGGCUCAUCACAUCCUGGGGCUGAAGUAGGUCCCAAGGGUAUGGCUGUUCGCCAUUUAAAGUGGUACGCGAGCUGGGUUUAGAACGUCGUGAGACAGUUCGGUCCCUAUCUGCCGUGGGCGCUGGAGAACUGAGGGGGGCUGCUCCUAGUACGAGAGGACCGGAGUGGACGCAUCACUGGUGUUCGGGUUGUCAUGCCAAUGGCACUGCCCGGUAGCUAAAUGCGGAAGAGAUAAGUGCUGAAAGCAUCUAAGCACGAAACUUGCCCCG
Molecule: ribosomal RNA, 422 nt
Filed under: Escherichia coli
Lineage: Bacteria; Pseudomonadati; Pseudomonadota; Gammaproteobacteria; Enterobacterales; Enterobacteriaceae
Description: partial 23S ribosomal RNA
Rfam family: Bacterial large subunit ribosomal RNA
Source: RNAcentral